CCAGUUUCCUGAAGACUGGUAUUCACAUGGUGGGAAGAGAGGACGAAUGCAGACAGCUAUUGGAACAACUUCUGCAGAUGUGGUGAGACCUUAUGGAGGUUGGGCUUCUGUGCACCUCGAUCCCUGCAAAACCAGAUGGAGGAAUUAAACCUGUGUCUCCCAAGGCAGAACAAAAGUGCCAAGUUGUGGACUCCUGUGAUAAAAAGAGGCUACUCUCCCGUAGAAACUACUUCACAGUCAAAAUUAGUUGGGCAAGACAGAGACUGUGACUGACUGGGCCACCAUACAUGCUAUUGGCCAAUGGGAGCUGAGGGGCUACACUUGAGAAGGAGGGAGGGAGCUCACUGCUCCCUUGCUGUCUUGCAGUGGUACAUUCAUUAAUCACUGAACUCUGCAUUGUGCUGUAUUUUGAGUGGAAAUUGCUGCUGCUGUGCCUUAUAUGGACAGUAAUCCUAUGGCUGCGUGUUAGGCAGGCAUGUGAGAUCAGAGGUCCUCAGGGAGGCUGGGAAAUGUCCAUCUGCUGAUUCUGUCAUGGGAGAAUGAAAAUACAUGGACAUAUAGGCAUGAAAACAAUAUGAUUCUCAGGUCAAGUGGAAAUUUCUGCUCGCAGAGUAACAUUCAUCUGGGCAGAUUCCUUUGCCUGUCUUACACUUGCUGGAUAUGAGAGCAGUGGCUCAUUUCCAUAAUUUCCAUCAUUUCCAUGUAUCUCAGUAUAAGGAACAGGA
Molecule: long non-coding RNA, 725 nt
Organism: Poecile atricapillus (Black-capped chickadee)
Lineage: Eukaryota; Metazoa; Chordata; Aves; Passeriformes; Paridae
Exons: 3
Source: RefSeq, a predicted model, not a curated record